Molecule: ribosomal RNA, 250 nt
Filed under: uncultured bacterium
Lineage: Bacteria
Description: partial 16S ribosomal RNA
Rfam family: Bacterial small subunit ribosomal RNA
Source: RNAcentral
UGGGGAAUUUUGGACAAUGGGGGAAACCCUGAUCCAGCCAUUCCGCGAGAGUGAAGAAGGCCUUCGGGUUGUAAAGCUCUUUCGGCAGGAGCGAAAAGGUACGGGCUAAUAUCCUGUGCUCAUGACGGUACCUGAAGAAGAAGCACCGGCUAACUACGUGCCAGCAGCCGCGGUAAUACGUAGGGUGCGAGCGUUAAUCGGAAUUACUGGGCGUAAAGCGUGCGCAGGUGGUUGUUUAAGACAGAUGUGA